GCCCGCGUAGCUCAGGCAGUAGAGCGCAUUCUUGGUAAGAAUGAGGUCCGCAGUGCAAAUCUGCGCACGGGCU
RNAcentral lists this transfer RNA (73 nucleotides) under Candidatus Jorgensenbacteria bacterium RIFCSPLOWO2_12_FULL_42_11. RNAcentral's name for it is "tRNA-Thr". The record is from RNAcentral. Lineage: Bacteria; Candidatus Joergenseniibacteriota.